GUGCUCGCUUUGGCCACACAUGUACUAAAACUGAAACAAUACAGAAAAGAUUAGCAGGCCCCCAUGCAAGGACGACAAGUGAAUUCGUGAGGUGUUCCAUGUUUUA
Octodon degus (degu) is the source of this 106-nucleotide small nuclear RNA. NCBI's taxonomy places the organism in Eukaryota, Metazoa, Chordata, Mammalia, Rodentia, Octodontidae. The record is from Ensembl.